GACGAACGCUGGCGGCGUGCUUAACACAUGCAAGUCGAACGGAAAGGCCCUGCUUUUGUGGGGUGCUCGAGUGGCGAACGGGUGAGUAACACGUGAGUAACCUGCCCUUGACUUUGGGAUAACUUCGGGAAACUGGGGCUAAUACCGGAUAGGAGCUCCUGCUGCAUGGUGGGGGUUGGAAAGUUUCGGCGGUUGGGGAUGGACUCGCGGCUUAUCAGCUUGUUGGUGGGGUAGUGGCUUACCAAGGCUUUGACGGGUAGCCGGCCUGAGAGGGUGACCGGCCACAUGGGGACUGGGAUCCGGCCCAGACUCCUACGGGAGGCAGAAGUGGGGAAUAUUGAACAAUGGGCGGAAGCCUGAUGCAGCACCGCCGCGUGCGGGAUGACGGCCUUCGGGUUGUAAACCGCUUUCGCCUGUGACGAAGCGUGAGUGACGGUAAUGGGUAAAGAAGCACCGGCUAACUACGU
Molecule: ribosomal RNA, 467 nt
Filed under: uncultured bacterium
Lineage: Bacteria
Description: partial 16S ribosomal RNA
Rfam family: Bacterial small subunit ribosomal RNA
Source: RNAcentral